GAUGAACGCUGGCGGCGUGCUUAACACAUGCAAGUCGAGCGAACAGAUUAGGAGCUUGCUCCGCUCACGUUAGCGGCGCACGGGUGAGUAACACGUGGAUAACCUACCUAUAAGGCUGGUAUAACUUCGAGAAGCCGUAGCUAAUACCGGAUAAUAUAUUGAACCGCAUGGUUCAAUAGUGAAAGACGGUUUUGCUGUCACUUAUAGCUGGAUCCGCGCUGCAUUAGCUAGUUGGUUAGGAAACGGCCUACCAAGGGAACGAGUCGUAGCCGACCCGAGCGGGGGAUCGGCCACCCUGGAACUGAGACACGGUCCAGGCUCCUGCGGGAGGCAGCAGUAGGGAAUCUUACGCAAUGGGCGAAAGCCUGACGGAGCAACGCCGCGUGAGUGAUGAAGGUCUUCGGAUCGUAAAACUCUGUUAUUAGUGAAGAACAAAUGUGUAAGUAAAUAUGCCCGUCUUGACGGUACCUAGUCAAAAAGCCACGGCUAACUACGUG
RNAcentral lists this ribosomal RNA (497 nucleotides) under uncultured bacterium. RNAcentral's name for it is "partial 16S ribosomal RNA". It matches the Rfam family "Bacterial small subunit ribosomal RNA", at positions 28 to 507 of the family's 1533-position model. The record is from RNAcentral.